This 2312-nucleotide long non-coding RNA is filed under the name Homo sapiens (human). Its description in RNAcentral is "HSALNT0021953". The record is from RNAcentral. Lineage: Eukaryota; Metazoa; Chordata; Mammalia; Primates; Hominidae.
GAAGGUGAAAACUUGGCCAUUACUACCUGCAGCCUGAAACCAGCUGCAUUUGAACAAGGGCUGAAAAUACAGUUCUGAGCGGGUAGAUUGGAAGAAAGCAGGGAUCCUGACGACAAACAAACCAAAGUUUUCACCCCAUCUCUGCCACUUACUUAGAAGCUUGGUGACUUUGGGAUGUUUGGAUCCAGAUUUUGCAUGAACAUAUGAUAUCAGCAGAAGGCAACCAGAUUAAUGAUGGAGAUGCAGAGUUCAAACCCGUGUACUGGGAUGGCCUCCUGGAAUCUUCCCCCAGAUCAGUCAGUCAAGUAUCAAAACAGUCAUCAGAAAGUGGGGGCACUAAGCCCAGUGAGGCAGCUCCCCAGAGCCAGGUGGAAGAGGAAGACUGCAGAGUGGACCACACCACACUGGGGCAAAAACAUAGAAGAGGCAGCAAGACUGCAAUUGAGGCAAGAACACUGGGCUCGACGUUCCUAAAAAAUAUAUCAUUGCUGUUGUUGGUGCAGUCAGGUAACUCAGGUUUGACUCUCAGCUUCAGAGUUUCUAUAAUGUUUAGCAGCAGAAAAUUGUUCUGGCAAGUGACUUAAUCCUUCCAUGCCUCAAUUUCCUCAGUUGAUAAGUAAUGAAUAAUAAUCUCAGAGUUGUUAUGAAGGAUAAAUGAGAUAAUACAUAAUAAAGAGCUAAGAACAGUGCCUGCCACAUAUUAUUCCUUCAAUAAAGGUUAGCUGAUGAUGAUUGCAAUUAUAAUGAUGAGGACAUAUUUAAUCCACAAAAAUAGAUGCAUAUUUAAAAAAUAGAUGCAUAAUUUAAAAUAGAUUUUUGGAUGCUAAAGAGUAGCAAAAAAUGGUACAUAAAUACUAAAACUAGGACUAAUACAAUACAAAUAGUUAUCAGUCUCCAGUAUAAAAAUUGACUGAGAAUAUUUAUUUGCUGGGACAAGGGAAUAUGUAAUCACCAUGAUUUUACCUAAGCAGUUCCCCUAACAAAAAUGUAUAGCGAUGAAUUUUAUAAAAUUAGACUUUGUUGUACAAAUGAUCAAUGGAAAAUGCAUUUAAACCUUGUCAAGGCCGGGCGUGAUGGCUCAUGUCUGUAAUCUCAGCACUUUGGGAGGCUGAGGUGGGCGGAUCACGAGGUCAGGAGAUGGAGACCAUCCCGGCCAGCAUCGUGAAACCCCGUCUCUACUAAAAAAAAUACAAAAAUUAGCCGGGCACGGUGGCGGAUGCCUGUAAUCCCAGCUACUCAGGAGGCUAAGGCAGGAGAAUCGCUUGAACUCAAGAGGCAGAGGUUGCAGUGAGCCGAGAUCGCGCCACUGCACUCCAGCCUGGCGACAGAGUGAGACUCCGUCUCAAAAAAAAAAAAAAAGAAAAGAAAAGAAAAGAAAAGAAAACGUUGUCAAAUAAUAGCAUGAAACAUAACAGUUUUCUCCUCCCAUCUUCCUCCCUUCCCCAAAACCCAGUGGUCUCUCUGGUAAACAAAUUGAAAUUUUCCAGACCAACUUCAAAAUAAUGCCCUUGUUAUUUUGGUACAAAACCAUUGAAAUUUACAGCAAAAAUUAGAUCAGAAGACCAAAUUACAAAGCCAUCCAUCCUUGUGGCAAAAUCAGGCACAUAUUACAGCAUAGCCAGUAAUUCUGUAAAACUGGCCACAGUAUAAGUGAUAAAUACAUUCAGUGGUUCUCUUAAGAAACUGGCUCUGGGAGAAUCCAGCUGCCUUGUCUGAACACCUCAAGAUUGUCAUGCUAGAGACACCACAUGGGGUGCUCUGGUUGGCAAUUGCAGUGGUGCCCAGCCAUCCAGCUACCCGUACCAAGGCACUAGGUAUGUGCAUGAAGCUAUUGCUGACUCCAGAUGAGCCCCAUCCACCAUCUAAGUCCCACUGAAUGACCUUCAUCAAUGCAAUGCGGACUAGAAGAAUUGCCUGGCUGAGAGCUGCAUGAAUUCCUGACCCCUAAAAUCCAUGCAAUAUAAUUAAGUGGUUUUUGUUUUAAGCCAUUAAGUUUUGGGAUAGUUUGUUACCCAGCAAUGGUAACUGAAACACUUCCAAGCAGGCUUUAUGUAGGUUCUGAUACCAACUCACCUUGUCUAGUAAACAUGACUCCAUAAUUUUUCCAUUUGAGUUUAAUGGCAAUAUCCAUGACUAUCUGAUAGUCACGUGUUUCAAUUUUCAAUGAUUGAUUAUUAUUAGUUAAGAAAUUAUAGUUUAGAAAGACAAAGAGUAAAAUAUUUUACAAAUUAAGAAAUAAAACCACCUGGACAUGAAACUUGACCUAUGGUGUAAACCUAUAUUGGACCCCAGUUUUAGGAACUUGGUUGAGG